GAGUUUGAUCCUGGCUCAGAACGAACGACUGAUGGCGUGCCCUCAUACAUGCAAGUUCGAGCGCCCCGCAAGGGGGAGCGGCGAGACGGGUGAGUGAACACGUGAUACGAUCUGCCUCAGAAGUGGGGGAUAACCAUUCCAACGGAUGAGCUAAUACCGCAUCAGGGUUCGGAGGGGGCAUCCCUUCCUUACGUAAGCUUCACGCGACUUUGAGAUGAGUUCGUCGUCCCAUUAGCUAGUUGGCGGGGUAACGGCCCACACAAGGCAACGAUGGGUAGCCGGCCAUGAGAGGGUGUCCGGCCACAUUGGAGACUGAGAUACGGCCCAGACUCCUACGGGAGGCAGCAGUAGGGAAUUUUGCGCAAUGGGGGAAACCCUGAAGCAGCAACGCCAUGUGUGGGAUGAAGCAUUUCGGUGCUGUAAUACCUACUGUCGGCAGGGGAAUAAAGUCCGAGCUUGCGCGGCAGGUGAAUGUACCUGCAGAGGAAGCCCCGGCUAACUUCGUGC
RNAcentral lists this ribosomal RNA (507 nucleotides) under uncultured bacterium. Its description in RNAcentral is "bacterial SSU rRNA". It matches the Rfam family "Bacterial small subunit ribosomal RNA", at positions 9 to 508 of the family's 1533-position model. The record is from RNAcentral.